CAUCGCCUGUGUCUGCUGCUUUAUCAUCCGCGUCAACUCUGUGUUUUAACAUGUUUGUUUCACCAAUACCUUGGUAUGCCAUAUUUACACGUUCAGAUGUAGAUUUCCAUAAAUCAACAUAACAAUGAUAAAUAUCACUAUCAUCAAUUGACAUAAUUUCAUUUCCACUUAUACGAAUUGUUUUUUUUUAACUAUUGCUCUUCCUAUGUUUUGAUAUAUAGUUGCAUUGUCGUCUGUAGAUGUGAGUUCUAUUUCGAAUGCCAAUCUGGUUGUUCCAGGAACAAUGACAUCAUUAUUGCUUAGAUUGGGGAAUCUCACUAAUAGCUGUUGAUUUUGAUCAAUAGUUGAAGGAUUAUUUGUUAUUACUACACUUUGACGAAUACCUUUCACACCACGGGGUUCUCUUAUUUUUCUGUAAGGAUUUAAUUUGUUUCCGUAUGCCGACAUUUUUAAGGAUUAAAUUUGUUAUAAAAAUAAUUCAACUACCGCUGAUACUAGAGUAUUGAUACAUGCAGAAUUAUCAC
Molecule: long non-coding RNA, 524 nt
Filed under: Mytilus galloprovincialis (Mediterranean mussel)
Lineage: Eukaryota; Metazoa; Mollusca; Bivalvia; Mytilida; Mytilidae
Source: RNAcentral